CCAUGCGAGUCGACAUAGCAAUAUGUGGCAUACGGCUCAGUAACACGUAGUCAACAUGCCCAGGGGACGUGGAUAACCUCGGGAAACUGAGGAUAAACCGCGAUAGGUCAUCACUUCUGGAAUGGGUAAUGACUUAAACCUAUAUGGCCCCUGGAUUGGACUGCGGCCGAUCAGGCUGUUGGUGAGGUAAUGGCCCACCAAACCUGUAACCGGUACGGGCUCUGAGAGGAGGAGCCCGGAGAUGGGCACUGAGACAAGGGCCCAGGCCCUAUGGGGCGCAGCAGGCGCGAAACCUCUGCAAUAGGCGAAAGCUUGACAGGGUUACUCUGAGUGAUUUCCGUUAAGGAGAUCUUUUGGCACCUCUAAAAAUGGUGCAGAAUAAGGGGUGGGCAAGUCUGGUGUCAGCCGCCGCGGUAAUACCAGCACCCCGAGUGGUCGGGACGUUUAUUGGGCCUAAAGCAUCCGUAGCCGGUUCUACAAGUCUUCCGUUAAAUCCACCUGCUUAACAGAUGGGCUGCGGAAGAUACUAUAGAGCUAGGAGGCGGGAGAGGCAAGCGGUACUCGAUGGGUAGGGGUAAAAUCCGUUGAUCCAUUGAAGACCACCAGUGGCGAAGGCGGCUUGCCAGAACGCGCUCGACGGUGAGGGAUGAAAGCUGGGGGAGCAAACCGGAUUAGAUACCCGGGUAGUCCCAGCUGUAAACGAUGC
This 706-nucleotide ribosomal RNA is filed under the name uncultured archaeon. RNAcentral's name for it is "bacterial SSU rRNA". It matches the Rfam family "Archaeal small subunit ribosomal RNA", at positions 49 to 763 of the family's 1478-position model. The record is from RNAcentral.